UGCCAGCCGCCGCGGUAAUACGGAGGGUCCGAGCGUUAUCCGGAAUUAUUGGGUUUAAAGGGUCCGUAGGCGGGCCGAUAAGUCAGAGGUGAAAGUUUGCAGCUCAACUGUAAAAUUGCCUUUGAUACUGUUGGUCUUGAGUUAUGGUGAAGUUGGCGGAAUAUGUAGUGUAGCGGUGAAAUGCAUAGAUAUUACAUAGAACACCGAUUGCGAAGGCAGCUGACUAACAAUUAACUGACGCUGAGGGACGAAAGCGUGGGUAGCGAACAGGAUUAGAUA
RNAcentral lists this ribosomal RNA (279 nucleotides) under uncultured bacterium. RNAcentral's name for it is "partial 16S ribosomal RNA". It matches the Rfam family "Bacterial small subunit ribosomal RNA", at positions 506 to 784 of the family's 1533-position model. The record is from RNAcentral.